This 4431-nucleotide long non-coding RNA is filed under the name Coffea arabica (coffee). Its description in RNAcentral is "long non-coding RNA (CARA_LNC003186)". Lineage: Eukaryota; Viridiplantae; Streptophyta; Magnoliopsida; Gentianales; Rubiaceae. The record is from RNAcentral.
AGUUAGUGACAAGCUUUGUUGUCACAAAGAGUUUUUGAUUCUUGUCUUGUAAUAGCUCUUUUUUGUCAUUAGUGAUCUUCAACAUUGUCAGCUCCAUUUCAAUAAACUCACAAUUUAGCAUGGUAAAUUAUUAUCUAAAAUAAAUAGAAAGAAGUAACCUAAACAAUUGAUAAUCAAAAAUAGUUGUUGCAUUAGGCUACAUGCCAAUAAAGCAUAUUAAGGACUCAAAUAUCAUAUUGAGGUGCACAUUACCCAACAAAGGUCUAUAAAAGUAACAUUGUUCUGACAGCCCUCGACAAUAUUGUCCCACAGUUUGACACCCCGUAGGGCCGUGGGUUUUGUUCUUGGCGGUGUUGGACAACACAACAGGCACUCGCAGGCUACCUUACCAAAAGGCCUCGUCGAGGUGGGUGAUACCACAACAGACUUAUUAAAACAGCCCAGGCUCUCUCCCUAGCUGAUGUGGGAGCAUGACACUCCACCCUCCUAAGGAGACCCAGCGUCCUCGCUGGCACAUCGGGGUCGGGAGUCGGUUUUGAUACCAACUCUGACAGCCCCUCGACAAUAUUGUCCCACAGUUUGACACCCCGUGGCGCCAUGGGUUUUGUUCUUGGCGGUACUGGAUAACACAACAGUUACCCGCAGGCUACCUCACCAAAAGGCCUCAUCGAGAUGGGUGAUACCACAACAGACUUAUCAAAGCAGCCCGGACUCUCUCCCUAGCCGAUGUGGGAGCAUGACAAUUGUGCCCAAAUAUCACAUAUUCAUAAGGUACGUUUACAAAAGGAAUUAAGUUCAAGAAACCAAAGAACAUCUAAGCGAACCCUUGCACGAGCAAAUUGCGACUUUGUCUUCAACGUCCUUUAGUCAUUGCUAUAGAUAGCUCCCAAAAUUUUGUUUAAAUAGCAUUUAUCUGUAAUAAAGUAGUAAAACAAGUAGAUAAGGGGAGGAUUAAAACACUGAAGGAGAAGUAACAAUAGUUAGGUUGCUUAGCUAAAAUAUGCAAUCCAAUAAGAACUUCAAUAAUUAAAGCUGUACAUUCAAAAUCAGCCCAAAAAAAAAAAAACCAAAAUCAACCCCGAACUAUUGCACAAAAUCAGCUCAAGAAGUAAGUACUGCUAUUAAACUUCAGCUUCAAAGGAAUAAUAUAACAAGUUGAUAAGGCAACAAGCACUGCUAUAAGUACUGCUAUGAACAAUAUAACCAGUUGAUAAGACUACAAGCACAACACUAAAGGAAAAACAACUUUGAUUCGCUUGCUUAGCUAAACAUUCAAAUAAACUAAACUGAACUAAACCAAAACAAUCCAAAGUAAUGCAUAGCAGAGGAUACAACGUGUCAAGUAUGAUAACCAAAGUAAUGUCAAUCACGAUACAAGGUGUCGAGCUACCCAUUCAUAUAGGAGAAACUGAGGCAAUGUGUACCUCAUUUAUAUAAGAGAAACUGAUGCAAUGCGUAUCGUGAGAAAGAUGUCUAUGGGUUUCUCAAUCUUUACAACCCAUUUCUCCAAACCACUAGAGGAUGAAUUACAUGGAGUGGUACUACAUAAACAAUAUUAACAUUAUCAAAAUCCAUAUGCCCAAAUUACUCCAAUCACAAUAACAACUAAAAGCUACUGAAAAGCAUUGGCAUUGCCGUGUAAAUGCUUGUUAAAGCAGUAAAUACUGUAAAUUGCCAGACUUAAUAGCAACCAUCCAAGAUCAGAACUCAUCACUAUCCCAGCUUGUGCUCAAACACAUUACCUCAAUAACACCAUCAUAUCAUACAAAAACUCAAAUCAUUUCAAUAUUUCAAAACAACAUAUGCUAAGCUUAGAGAGCACAAAUUUCUGUAAUGAAAGAUCCAAAGUUCAAAACUUUCAAAGCUAAAUAAGAGAACUUUAAAAGCAGCAAAUUAAAGAAAAACAAUUAAGUCACCUCUUCAAUAAUCUUCGUUGCCACUCUAUCUUUAACACUCCCUCCUAGCUUCAAGAAUUCAGUAUUGCUUAAAAUCUAACAAAGUAAAUACUCGUCAUCAAUUCAAGUAAAUAAUAAGCUGAAUAGAACUGUGAAAAAUAAUAUGUUUGUUGAGAAAAAAAUUACCUCAUAGCCAGUGGCAUCAGAUAGGCUAUUGAUUUAUCAGGUACAUUUAUUUUUCAAGAAAGAAAAACAAGCACCCUGUCCUCUUCACCAUAUCCUAUUUUAUGCCCUAAGGUAGAAUACUUUGAAAACCAUUUCAAAUUAGACUUCAAAUCACAAACUACUCCUAAGUAUAAACUACUUCGCCAUACUUAAGUAACCAAAACUGAAUUGCAUGGAGAAAUAAAAGAUAAUUAAGGUAAGAACAUAGAUGAUAAUUUGAACCAAAAAGCACAGGAAUUACCCAUCCACAAUGGCAUAACAUAUGUAUAAACUACUUCACCAUACUUAAGUAACCAAAGUUGAAUUGCACGGAUCACAUACAAAAGUUGAACUAAUGUUAAAAGGAUCACAUUUGAAAGUAGCAUGCUAACAAAGUCUAAAGUAACUGUAAUUGCAUUAUGUAGCAGCAAAGGACAGAUCCAUAACCAACAUUAUGUUAGUCAUCAAUACCUCUGCUAGAAUAAGACCAAAAAGGAGGAGAAAUAUUAUCAUCUCCAUGCAAAAAAAAAAAAAAAAAAUCCAAUUCACCAAUAUUUACAACCAUCAAGCCACGAGAUUUUCUCACAAGUUACCAAUCAGACAAGGUUUAAUACUCAUACAUGAUUUAGAGGUUUGUGUUCCAGAAUGAAUUUAUAAGUUAGCAGAAAAAACUCAAGCCUACCAUAUCUCAAGUUGCAGGACUACAUCCAUAGCUAAUAUACAGCUUUUUAGGCAAAGUACAAAUGCAAUGAUGUAGUGCAACUUGUCUAGGUUUCUAGAAAAAAAUGAAUAAAUGGAAACAAAAGAAAUGGGAGUCGAUUUGUGAGUGUGCACAUUGACACAAAGAUAGAGCACUUCCAACCGGGAAACAUUAGGAAAGAGCUUGAAGUCUUGACAGAUAAACCAUUAGGUUUAGGCAUUGAAGCUUGGUCAAUUUGGUUCAUAUUAAGAUACCAAAAUAUGCAAGAAAUGCAGACUGCCAAGCAUCACCUAAUGGCCUUAUCAAAAAAGCUAAACAAAACAAGAACCAACUGAAGCUCUAAGUCCAAAAUAAUAGAAAGCAACUAAACGACAACAGACACAAACAAAAACAAGCCCUAUUAGAGAAUACACUUAAAGACUAGACCUAUCUAAGGACAUAAAAGCAUAACAAAGAACAAGGAACAAACAAAGCAAGAGUGCUGAUACGUAACAACAAAAUCAAGAGUGCUGAUACGUAACAAGAGUGCUGAUAUGUAACAAGAGUGCUGAUACGUAAAAUCAAGACAUAAACAAUAUGCAUGAAGCCUCAGAACCAACUUAACAACAAAAGAAAGUAAGCACAACCCAUAUCACUCAAAAACAGGGGAAAAAGAGAAAAAGAGUACUUAAGAUAAGAUUAAUUGCAUAUCCCACCAAACAACAAAAACGCAGCCAAGGGAAUAAAACAUUUAACUUAGAGAGAAGUUAAAAAAAAACUAUCUGAGGACAUAAAAAGCAAACCAGAGUGCAAGAAACGAACAAAGCAAAAGUGCUAAGACAUAAAAUUGAGACAUAAAUAAUUGGUUAAAAGAGGAUAAAGAACAACAGUAAGGCAGAGCAGCUACACAAUUUUGUCUAGUUUUUCCUCUUCUUUAGAUUUUUACCUAGUCAACUCCUUCCCACAACUCUCAACCUCUUUGCCCUUGUCGGUACACAAUAAUCCAGCCCACCACACCAACACCACUCCUUCUUUUCUUUCUUCACACCACCACACAAAUGAAACCCACAAUGCUAAAGAAAUUUACCUAAAAAUGCUAUAGAAAGCAUAACUAAGGUAAGAAACUUUAGAAAAACUAGACAAAUGAUGGAGAAGAAGAGAAUUUACCCAAAAAUUGAAUGUUGGGAGCACAAAAUUGGGUUAAUAAAAUUUGGGGGAAACCGAUUAUUGAGCAAAAAAAAGAGAAAUUUACCUUUUUACAGCAAAUGCGUUGAGGAAAGAUAUCAAAAUUAGUAGCCCAAUAAGGAGGAAUGCUCGAGCAUUAGUAAGAAAGAAAUUGAGAGAGGUCUUUUUUUGACAAUAUACAUUUAAUUUUUGACUCUACAAACUGAGAGAGAAGAAACAACAACCUCGGCAAGUGCAGAGAGCAGCAGAAUCGGCAGGUGAGGGGCGUUGUAGAGGCCAACGGCAUCGAAGGACACAAUUAAAAUGGCGGACAAGGCGGUGACUAUUCGAACCAGGAAGUUUAUGACUAAUUGGCUUCUCUCUAGGAAGCAAUUCAUGAUUGAUGUUCUACAUUCGUGGCGACCUAAUGUUUCCAAGGAUUAGUUGAAGGAGAAAUUGGCAAGGAUGUAUGAGGUCAAGGACCCGAAU